RNAcentral lists this ribosomal RNA (243 nucleotides) under uncultured bacterium. RNAcentral describes it as "partial 16S ribosomal RNA". It matches the Rfam family "Bacterial small subunit ribosomal RNA", at positions 529 to 771 of the family's 1533-position model. The record is from RNAcentral.
AGGGUGCAAGCGUUAAUCGGAAUUACUGGGCGUAAAGGGUACGCAGGCGGCUAGGAAAGAAGGAUGUGAAAUCCCAGGGCUUAACCUUGGAACUGCAUUCUUAACUGCCUAGCUAGAGUAUGUCAGAGGGGGGUAGAAUUCCACGUGUAGCAGUGAAAUGCGUAGAUAUGUGGAGGAAUACCGAUGGCGAAGGCAGCCCCCUGGGAUAAUACUGACGCUCAGGUACGAAAGCGUGGGGAGCAA